AAAAUAAUUUUUAAGGUUAUAAAAGAAAAAAUAAUUAAGACAUUAUUUUUAUAUAAUUCUCCACAAAUAAACACCAUUGACUAUAAAACUAAAUAUUACAGUGUUUCAUUCUUUUAGUCUUGAGUUACAAUUAACUCUUUUACAAAAUAAUCAUGAUCAAGGAAAACAUGUACAUAGUGAUUGUUUAUUUGCUCCAAUGAAAAAACUGCAUCAUUUUGAGAAACAGUAUGCUUCUACCUCAGUGGCUGAUACACUUUUCCCUGCUGUUAUUGGAAGUUCAUGCCUCCUUACCGAUGGGGCGAAAAAUUUCCAGAGCUUGCUUUGAAUCCGUGAUCUCUUGCAUCUCUGGAUCUUUCUUAAUCAAGCGCUCUAACUACUGCGCCAAUGCCGCUAGGUCUAAUUUUUACAACAUCAAACCGUUACGUAUGGAUACGUAUGUUUUUAAAACAUUAAUUUAGUAUUUAUAAAUAUUUUAAUUUACACCAUAUUAUUAUAUUUGCAUUUUUAAUUGUCUUUUAUUAUUACCCUUUUUUUGCCAGUUGGUUUCUCCGCCCGUGAGUGGGAUAGAAAAAAUCUUUUUAUUUUUAAAGUGUGGCGGAAAUAGAACGAAAAUCAGAAAUUUUUAUCGCCUUGCGAAAGCGAAAUGAGAUAAGUCGCUUUUUAAUUAGGGUUAUUAAUUCUACGUUGUUAAAAUUUUUAAUUAUUACUCAUUAUCAUUUUAUUAAAUUGAUUUGCAGUUGUAAUUUAAAAGUUACGCAUAUUUGCAAAAAUUUUAUUAA
Molecule: non-coding RNA, 779 nt
Organism: Hydra vulgaris (swiftwater hydra)
Lineage: Eukaryota; Metazoa; Cnidaria; Hydrozoa; Anthoathecata; Hydridae
Source: RefSeq, a predicted model, not a curated record